GAUGAAGAACGUAGCGAAAUGCGAUACUUGGUGUGAAUUGCAGAAUCCCGUGAACCAUCGAGUCUUUGAACGCAAGUUGCGCCCGAAGCCACUAGGCCGAGGGCACGCCUGCCUGGGCGUCACACGCCGUUGCCCCCCCAUCUACUCCUUCGGGAUUGCGGGGGGGCGGAUGAUGGCCUCCUGUGCGCCUAGCCGCGCGGUUGGCAUAAAUACCAAGUCCUCGGCGACGCACGCCACGACAAUCGGUGGUUGCGAAACCUCGGUUGCCCGUCGUGUGCGUUCGUCGCGCAUCGAGGGCUCGAAAAAAUGCUCGGCUCCGGCUGGGCUUUCAACGCGACCCCAGGUCAGGCGGGGUUACCCGCUGAAUUUAAGCAUAUCAAAAAGCGGAGGA
Molecule: unclassified non-coding RNA, 391 nt
Filed under: soil metagenome
Description: partial contains 5.8S ribosomal RNA, internal transcribed spacer 2, and large subunit ribosomal RNA
Rfam family: 5.8S ribosomal RNA (bases 1-122)
Source: RNAcentral